GAUGAACGCUGCGGCGUGCCUAAUACAUGCAAGUCGAGCGAACGGACGAGAAGCUUGCUUCUCUGAUGUUAGCGGCGGACGGGUGAGUAACACGUGGAUAACCUACCUAUAAGACUGGGAUAACUUCGGGAAACCGGAGCUAAUACCGGAUAAUAUUUUGAACCGCAUGGUUCAAAAGUGAAAGACGGUCUUGCUGUCACUUAUAGAUGGAUCCGCGCUGCAUUAGCUAGUUGGUAAGGUAACGGCUUACCAAGGCAACGAUGCAUAGCCGACCUGAGAGGGUGAUCGGCCACACUGGAACUGAGACACGGUCCAGACUCCUACGGGAGGCAGCAGUAGGGAAUCUUCCGCAAUGGGCGAAAGCCUGACGGAGCAACGCCGCGUGAGUGAUGAAGGUCUUCGGAUCGUAAAACUCUGUUAUUAGGGAAGAACAUAUGUGUAAGUAACUGUGCACAUCUUGACGGUACCUAAUCAGAAAGCCACGGCUAACUACGUG
RNAcentral lists this ribosomal RNA (496 nucleotides) under uncultured bacterium. Its description in RNAcentral is "partial 16S ribosomal RNA". It matches the Rfam family "Bacterial small subunit ribosomal RNA", at positions 28 to 507 of the family's 1533-position model. The record is from RNAcentral.